AAAAAAAACAAACUCUGGUUCCUAUGUCUAACGUUUGACCGUCCGUCUUAUUUGAAAAAAUUAUGAAAAAAAUUAAAAAGACAAGUCACGCAUAAAAUAUUAAUCAUGUUUUAUUAUCUAACAAUAAUGAAAAUACGAAUUAUAAAAAAAUUUUAUAUAAGACGGACCGUUAAAGUUGGACACGAAAAUUCAGGGUUUGCCUUUUU
Oryza nivara is the source of this 206-nucleotide non-coding RNA. Lineage: Eukaryota; Viridiplantae; Streptophyta; Magnoliopsida; Poales; Poaceae. The record is from Rfam.